UGCCUAUAACAAGGGUAGUGAACUUUGUGGAAAAGUGGGUUUUCUUCUCCAGGAGGUCCCUUUGCCAGCUUUUCUGCAAAGUUCAUUACCCUUGUUAUAGGC
This is a non-coding RNA of Podarcis lilfordi (Lilford's wall lizard), 102 nucleotides long. Lineage: Eukaryota; Metazoa; Chordata; Lepidosauria; Squamata; Lacertidae. The record is from the annotation of a GenBank genome assembly.